UACGUAGGGUGCAAGCGUUGUCCGGAAUUAUUGGGCGUAAAGAGCUCGUAGGCGGUUUGUCGCGUCUGCUGUGAAAACCCGAAGCUCAACCUCGGGCCUGCAGUGGGUACGGGCAGACUAGAGUGCGGUAGGGGAGAUUGGAAUUCCUGGUGUAGCGGUGGAAUGCGCAGAUAUCAGGAAGAACACCAAUGGCGAAGGCAGAUCUCUGGGCCGUAACUGACGCUGAGGAGCGAAAGCAUGGGGAGCGAACAGG
This 253-nucleotide ribosomal RNA is filed under the name uncultured bacterium. RNAcentral describes it as "partial 16S ribosomal RNA". It matches the Rfam family "Bacterial small subunit ribosomal RNA", at positions 524 to 776 of the family's 1533-position model. The record is from RNAcentral.